AUCGCUUCUCGGCCUUUUGGCUAAGAUCAAGUGUAGUAUCUUUUGUUUCUCUUGCCUUUGGGGAUGUAUCAUGAAAAAGGUUGCUUUGGCCGAUGUCGUAGAGGUUGCUGCCUAUGUUCUCCUCUAGAUUAUUGAUGGAUUCCUGUCUCACAUCGAGGUCUUUCAUCCAUUUGGAG
This 176-nucleotide small nuclear RNA is filed under the name Ursus maritimus (polar bear). Its description in RNAcentral is "U2 spliceosomal RNA". It matches the Rfam family "U2 spliceosomal RNA". Rfam says of the family: U2 is a small nuclear RNA (snRNA) component of the spliceosome (involved in pre-mRNA splicing). Complementary binding between U2 snRNA (in an area lying towards the 5' end but 3' to hairpin I) and the branchpoint sequence (BPS) of the intron results the bulging out of an unpaired adenosine, on the BPS, which initiates a nucleophilic attack at the intronic 5' splice site, thus starting the first of two transesterification reactions that mediate splicing. Lineage: Eukaryota; Metazoa; Chordata; Mammalia; Carnivora; Ursidae. RNAcentral also lists the same sequence under 1 other name. The record is from Rfam by way of RNAcentral.